AUGCUUACGUUUCUGGUAAGCGUCGAUUCGGGCUUUCAGGGCAUUGAUGAAGCGGGAUAUCACAGCUGCGUCCGUUGCUGCCGGUACAUC
RNAcentral lists this ribosomal RNA (90 nucleotides) under Escherichia coli 6-175-07_S1_C3. Its description in RNAcentral is "partial 16S ribosomal RNA". Lineage: Bacteria; Pseudomonadati; Pseudomonadota; Gammaproteobacteria; Enterobacterales; Enterobacteriaceae. The record is from RNAcentral.